This 253-nucleotide ribosomal RNA is filed under the name uncultured bacterium. RNAcentral's name for it is "partial 16S ribosomal RNA". It matches the Rfam family "Bacterial small subunit ribosomal RNA", at positions 524 to 776 of the family's 1533-position model. The record is from RNAcentral.
UACGCAGGGGGCUAGCGUUGCUCGGAAUCACUGGGCGUAAAGGGUGCGUAGGCGGGUCUUUAAGUCAGGGGUGAAAUCCUGGAGCUCAACUCCAGAACUGCCUUUGAUACUGAGGAUCUUGAGUCCGGGAGAGGUGAGUGGAACUGCGAGCGUAGAGGUGAAAUUCGUAGAUAUUCGCAAGAACACCAGUGGCGAAGGCGGCUCACUGGCCCGGUACUGACGCUGAGGCACGAAAGCGUGGGGAGCAAACAGG